GGUUAAGCGACUAAGCGUACACGGUGGAUGCCACGGCAGUCAGAGGCGAUGAAGGACGUGCUAAUCUGCGAUAAGCGUCGGUGAGGUGAUAUGAACCGUUAUAACCGGCGAUUUCCGAAUGGGGAAACCCAGUGUGUUUCGACACACUAUCAUUAACUGAAUCCAUAGGUUAAUGAGGCGAACCGGGGAACUGAAACAUCUAAGUACCCCGAGGAAAAGAAAUCAACCGAGAUUCCCCAGUAGCGGCGAGCGAACGGGGAGGAGCCCAGAGCCUGAAUCAGUGUGUGUGUUAGUGGAAGCGUCUGGAAAGGCGCGCGAUACAGGGUGACAGCCCCGUACACAAAAAUGCACAUGCUGUGAGCUCGAUGAGUAGGGCGGGACACGUGGUAUCCUGUCUGAAUAUGGGGGACCAUCCUCCAAGGCUAAAUACUCCUGACUGACCGAUAGUGAACCAGUACCGUGAGGGAAAGGCGAAAAGAACCCCGGCGAGGGGAGUGAAAAAGAACCUGAAACCGUGUACGUACAAGCAGUGGGAGCCUCUUAAUGGGGUGACUGCGUACCUUUUGUAUAAUGGGUCAGCGACUUAUAUUCUGUAGCAAGGUUAACCGAAUAGGGGAGCCGAAGGGAAACCGAGUCUUAACUGGGCGUUAAGUUGCAGGGUAUAGACCCGAAACCCGGUGAUCUAGCCAUGGGCAGGUUGAAGGUUGGGUAACACUAACUGGAGGACCGAACCGACUAAUGUUGAAAAAUUAGCGGAUGACUUGUGGCUGGGGGUGAAAGGCCAAUCAAACCGGGAGAUAGCUGGUUCUCCCCGAAAGCUAUUUAGGUAGCGCCUCGUGAAUUCAUCUCCGGGGUAGAGCACUGUUUCGGCAAGGGGGUCAUCCCGACUUACCAACCCGAUGCAAACUGCGAAUACCGGAGAAUGUUAUCACGGGAGACACACGGCGGGUGCUAACGUCCGUCGUGAAGAGGGAAACAACCCAGACCGCCAGCUAAGGUCCCAAAGUCAUGGUUAAGUGGGAAACGAUGUGGGAAGGCCCAGACAGCCGUGAUGUUGGCUUAGAAGCAGCCAUCAUUUAAAGAAAGCGUAAUAGCUCACUGGUCGAGUCGGCCUGCGCGGAAGAUGUAACGGGGCUAAACCAUGCACCGAAGCUGCGGCAGCGACACUAUGUGUUGUUGGGUAGGGGAGCGUUCUGUAAGCCUGUGAAGGUGUGCUGUGAGGCAUGCUGGAGGUAUCAGAAGUGCGAAUGCUGACAUAAGUAACGAUAAAGCGGGUGAAAAGCCCGCUCGCCGGAAGACCAAGGGUUCCUGUCCAACGUUAAUCGGGGCAGGGUGAGUCGACCCCUAAGGCGAGGCCGAAAGGCGUAGUCGAUGGGAAACAGGUUAAUAUUCCUGUACUUGGUGUUACUGCGAAGGGGGACGGAGAAGGCUAUGUUGGCCGGGCGACGGUUGUCCCGGUUUAAGCGUGUAGGCUGGUUUUCCGGGCAAAUCCGGAAAACCAAGGCUGAGGCGUGAUGACGAGGCACUACGGUGCUGAAGCGACAAAUGCCCUGCUUCCGUGAAAAGCCUCUAAGCAUCAGGUAACAUCAAAUCGUACCCCAAACCGACACAGGUGGUCAGGUAGAGAAUACCAAGGCGCUUGAGAGAACUCGGGUGAAGGAACUAGGCAAAAUGGUGCCGUAACUUCGGGAGAAGGCACGCUGAUAUGUAGGUGAAGCGACUUGCUCGUGGAGCUGAAAUCAGUCGAAGAUACCAGCUGGCUGCAACUGUUUAUUAAAAACACAGCACUGUGCAAACACGAAAGUGGACGUAUACGGUGUGACGCCUGCCCGGUGCCGGAAGGUUAAUUGAUGGGGUUAGCGGUAACGCGAAGCUCUUGAUCGAAGCCCCGGUAAACGGCGGCCGUAACUAUAACGGUCCUAAGGUAGCGAAAUUCCUUGUCGGGUAAGUUCCGACCUGCACGAAUGGCGUAAUGAUGGCGGGCUGUCUCCACCCGAGACUCAGUGAAAUUGAACUCGCUGUGAAGAUGCAGUGUACCCGCGGCAAGACGGAAAGACCCCGUGAACCUUUACUAUAGCUUGACACUGAACAUUGAGCCUUGAUGUGUAGGAUAGGUGGGAGGCUUUGAAGUGUGGACGCCAGUCUGCAUGGAGCCGACCUUGAAAUACCACCCUUUAAUGUUUGAUGUUCUAACGUUGGCCCGUAAUCCGGGUUGCGGACAGUGUCUGGUGGGUAGUUUGACUGGGGCGGUCUCCUCCUAAAGAGUAACGGAGGAGCACGAAGGUUGGCUAAUCUCGGUCGGACAUCAGGAGGUUAGUGCAAUGGCAUAAGCCAGCUUGACUGCGAGCGUGACGGCGCGAGCAGGUGCGAAAGCAGGUCAUAGUGAUCCGGUGGUUCUGAAUGGAAGGGCCAUCGCUCAACGGAUAAAAGGUACUCCGGGGAUAACAGGCUGAUACCGCCCAAGAGUUCAUAUCGACGGCGGUGUUUGGCACCUCGAUGUCGGCUCAUCACAUCCUCGGGGCUGAAGUAGGUCCCAAGGGUAUGGCUGUUCGCCAUUUAAAGUGGUACGCGAGCUGGGUUUAGAACGUCGUGAGACAGUUCGGUCCCUAUCUCGCCGUGGGCGCUGGAGAACUGAGGGGGCUGCUCCUAGUACGAGAGGACCGGAGUGGACGCAUCACUGGUGUUCGGGUUGUCAUGCCAAUGGCACUGCCCGGUAGCUAAAUGCGGAAGAGAUAAGUGCUGAAAGCAUCUAAGCACGAAACUUGCCCCGAGAUGAGUUCUCCCUGAGACUUAGAGUCUCCUGAAGGAACGUUGAAGACGACGACGUUGAUAGGCCGGGUGUGUAAGCGCAGCGAUGCGUUGAGCUAACCGGUACUAAUGAACCGUGAGGCUUAACCUU
Molecule: ribosomal RNA, 2899 nt
Filed under: Escherichia coli
Lineage: Bacteria; Pseudomonadati; Pseudomonadota; Gammaproteobacteria; Enterobacterales; Enterobacteriaceae
Description: 23S ribosomal RNA
Rfam family: Bacterial large subunit ribosomal RNA
Source: RNAcentral